Molecule: ribosomal RNA, 618 nt
Filed under: uncultured Gemmatimonadota bacterium
Lineage: Bacteria; Pseudomonadati; Gemmatimonadota
Description: bacterial SSU rRNA
Rfam family: Bacterial small subunit ribosomal RNA
Source: RNAcentral
UUGGGAGCUCUCCCAUAUGGUCGACCUGCAGGCGGCCGCGAAUUCACUAGUGAUAGAGUUUGAUCAUGGCUCAGGACGAACGCUGGCGGCGUGCUUAACACAUGCAAGUCAAGGGGGCCCAGCAAUGGGCAACCGGCGAACGGGUGCGUAACACGUGAGCAACCUACCGAACUGUGGGGGAUAGCCGGCCUAACGGCCGAGUAAUACCGCAUACGCUUUCAGUGAGGCAUUUCAUUGAAAGGAAACCUACGGGACAGAUCGAGGGGCUCGCGGCCUAUCAGCUAGUUGGCGAGGUAACGGCUCACCAAGGCAACGACGGGUAGCUGGUCUGAGAGGAUGGCCAGCCACAUUGGGACUGAGAUACGGCCCAGACUCCUACGGGAGGCAGCAGUGGGGAAUCUUGCGCAAUGGCCUAACGGCUGACGCAGCGACGCCGCGUGUGGGAUGAAGCUCUUCGGAGUGUAAACCACUGUUGCCCGGGACGAACAGCUCGAUUAAUCGAGCCUGACGGUACCGGGUGAGGAAGCACCGGCUAACUCCGUGCCAGCAGCCGCGGUAAUACGAAUCGAAUUCCCGCGGCCGCCAUGGCGGCCGGGAGCAUGCGACGUCGGGCCCAAU